UGAAAGGCCAAUCAAACCGGGAGAUAGCUGGUUCUCCCCGAAAGCUAUUUAGGUAGCGCCUCGUGAACUCAUCUUCGGGGGUAGAGCACUGUUUCGGCUAGGGGGUCAUCCCGACUUACCAACCCGAUGCAAACUACGAAUACCGAAGAAUGUUAUCACGGGAGACACACGGCGGGUGCUAACGUCCGUCGUGAAGAGGGAAACAACCCAGACCGCCAGCUAAGGUCCCAAAGUCAUGGUUAAGUGGGAAACGAUGUGGGAAGGCACAGACAGCCAGGAUGUUGGCUUAGAAGCAGCCAUCAUUUAAAGAAAGCGUAAUAGCUCACUGGUCGAGUCGGCCUGCGCGGAAGAUGUAACGGGGCUAAACCAUGCACCGAAGCUGCGGCAGCGACACUAUGUGUUGUUGGGUAGGGGAGCGUUCUGUAAGCCUGCGAAGGUGUGCUGUGAGGCAUGCUGGAGGUAUCAGAAGUGCGAAUGCUGACAUAAGUAACGAUAAAGCGGGUGAAAAGCCCGCUCGCCGGAAGACCAAGGGUUCCUGUCCAACGUUAAUCGGGGCAGGGUGAGUCGACCCCUAAGGCGAGGCCGAAAGGCGUAGUCGAUGGGAAACAGGUUAAUAUUCCUGUACUUGGUGUUACUGCGAAGGGGGGACGGAGAAGGCUAUGUUAGCCGGGCGACGGUUGUCCCGGUUUAAGCAUGUAGGCUGAUUGUCCAGGCAAAUCCGGAUAAUCAAGGCUGAGGUGUGAUGACGAGGCACUACGGUGCUGAAGUAACAAAUGCCCUGCUUCCAGGAAAAGCCUCUAAGCAUCAGGUAACAUUAAAUCGUACCCCAAACCGACACAGGUGGUCAGGUAGAGAAUACCAAGGCGCUUGAGAGAACUCGGGUGAAGGAACUAGGCAAAAUGGUGCCGUAACUUCGGGAGAAGGCACGCUGGUGUGUAGGUGAAGUCCCUGCGGAUGGAGCUGAGACCAGUCGAAGAUACCAGCUGGCUGCAACUGUUUAUUAAAAACACAGCACUGUGCAAACACGAAAGUGGACGUAUACGGUGUGACGCCUGCCCGGUGCCGGAAGGUUAAUUGAUGGGGUUAUCCGUAAGGAGAAGCUCUUGAUCGAAGCCCCGGUAAACGGCGGCCGUAACUAUAACGGUCCUAAGGUAGCGAAAUUCCUUGUCGGGUAAGUUCCGACCUGCACGAAUGGCGUAAUGAUGGCCAGGCUGUCUCCACCCGAGACUCAGUGAAAUUGAACUCGCUGUGAAGAUGCAGUGUACCCGCGGCAAGACGGAAAGACCCCGUGAACCUUUACUAUAGCUUGACACUGAACAUUGAGCCUUGAUGUGUAGGAUAGGUGGGAGGCUUUGAAGCGUGGACGCCAGUCUGCGUGGAGCCAACCUUGAAAUACCACCCUUUAAUGUUUGAUGUUCUAACGUUGGCCCCUGACCGGGGUUGCGGACAGUGUCUGGUGGGUAGUUUGACUGGGGCGGUCUCCUCCCAAAGCGUAACGGAGGAGCACGAAGGUUAGCUAAUCCUGGUCGGACAUCAGGAGGUUAGUGCAAUGGCAUAAGCUAGCUUGACUGCGAGCGUGACGGCGCGAGCAGGUGCGAAAGCAGGUCAUAGUGAUCCGGUGGUUCUGAAUGGAAGGGCCAUCGCUCAACGGAUAAAAGGUACUCCGGGGAUAACAGGCUGAUACCGCCCAAGAGUUCAUAUCGACGGCGGUGUUUGGCACCUCGAUGUCGGCUCAUCACAUCCUGGGGCUGAAGUAGGUCCCAAGGGUAUGGCUGUUCGCCAUUUAAAGUGGUACGCGAGCUGGGUUUAGAACGUCGUGAGACAGUUCGGUCCCUAUCUGCCGUGGGCGCUGGAGAAUUGAGGGGGGCUGCUCCUAGUACGAGAGGACCGGAGUGGACGCAUCACUGGUGUUCGGGUUGUCAUGCCAAUGGCACUGCCCGGUAGCUAAAUGCGGAAGAGAUAAGUGCUGAAAGCAUCUAAGCACGAAACUUGCCCCGAGAUGAGUUCUCCCUGAGACUUUAAGUCUCCUGAAGGAACGUUAAAGACGAUGACGUUGAUAGGCCGGGUGUGUAAGCGCAGCGAUGCGUUGAGCUAACCGGUACUAAUGAACCGUGAGGCUUAACCUU
This 2126-nucleotide ribosomal RNA is filed under the name Klebsiella pneumoniae. Its description in RNAcentral is "bacterial LSU rRNA". It matches the Rfam family "Bacterial large subunit ribosomal RNA", at positions 822 to 2925 of the family's 2925-position model. The record is from RNAcentral. Lineage: Bacteria; Pseudomonadati; Pseudomonadota; Gammaproteobacteria; Enterobacterales; Enterobacteriaceae.